CGUUGGUUUCUUCCUUUUCUAUAGUAAAAUUCCUACUUUGCCCGCACUAGGUGGGUGCUUUUCCAGUGGCUGAAUUGCCCUUCGGCUUUUUCAUGCCUUCUGAUUGUUUUUGGUGGUUCGUGCAGGGACAAGUUGGGAAUUAUGUGUGACACGUGUCGGUCAUCGUGCUAUUCUCUUUUGGGGUUUGUUUUGCUUGCUUUUUGUUUCCGUUUCUCACUUGCAUUGGUGGUUUUCUAUCGCUCUCAGCUUCUCUUUUCUUUUGGUUCCCGUUGUGUGCUUCUCUUUGGCGCGCUUUUGUGUUUUGUUCUUCUCAGCCGUGGUUUUCAGAACGUCGCAGGUGCUUCCUUCUUCUGAUAACUCUGUGAAUUUGGAAAUCCAUCAUCCCAGGAACUAUUCAGAAGUACACUGCCCUGCACUGUGUGUUCGUCGAUGAAGCGCAACAUGCGGUGGAGGGCUGUACAUCAGAUGGUGAUCACGAUGUUAUGGCCUCCAAAAUUGAAGCCGGUGGAUGUUAUGAAAUCAUGGAUUUUCGGACUGUUAAAAUUAGGGCACAAUACAAGGUAGUACCGCAUGAAACCUUGAUUUUGUUCAACUCGAAAACAGUGUUUC
Pyrus x bretschneideri (Chinese white pear) is the source of this 609-nucleotide RNA transcript. RefSeq lists it as uncharacterized. The transcript has 3 exons. NCBI's taxonomy places the organism in Eukaryota, Viridiplantae, Streptophyta, Magnoliopsida, Rosales, Rosaceae. The record is from RefSeq and is a predicted model, not a curated record.